Molecule: ribosomal RNA, 505 nt
Filed under: uncultured bacterium
Lineage: Bacteria
Description: partial 16S ribosomal RNA
Rfam family: Bacterial small subunit ribosomal RNA
Source: RNAcentral
GACGAACGCUGGCGGCGUGCCUAAUACAUGCAAGUAGAACGCACAGUUUAUACCGUAGCUUGCUACACCAUAAACUGUGAGUUGCGAACGGGUGAGUAACGCGUAGGUAACCUGCCUGGUAGCGGGGGAUAACUAUUGGAAACGAUAGCUAAUACCGCAUAAUAUUGAUUAUUGCAUGAUAAUUGAUUGAAAGAUGCUAUUGCAUCACUACCAGAUGGACCUGCGUUGUAUUAGCUAGUAGGUGAGGUAACGGCUCACCUAGGCGACGAUACAUAGCCGACCUGAGAGGGUGCUCGGCCACACUGGGACUGAGACACGGCCCAGACUCCUACGGGAGGCAGCAGUAGGGAAUCUUCGGCAAUAGACGAAAGUCUGACCGAGCAACGCCGCGUGAGUGAAGAAGGUUUUCGGAUCGUAAAGCUCUGUUGUAAGAGAAGAACGGGUGUGAGAGUGGAAAGUUCACACUGUGACGGUAUCUUACCAGAAAGGGACGGCUAACUACGUG